Molecule: ribosomal RNA, 253 nt
Filed under: uncultured bacterium
Lineage: Bacteria
Description: partial 16S ribosomal RNA
Rfam family: Bacterial small subunit ribosomal RNA
Source: RNAcentral
UACGGAGGGGGCUAGGGUUGUUCGGAAUUACUGGGCGUAAAGCGCGCGUAGGCGGACCUGCAAGUCGGGGGUGAAAGCCCGAGGCUCAACCUCGGAACUGCCUUCGAUACUGCGGGUCUCGAGUCCGGGAGAGGUGAGUGGAAUUCCUAGUGUAGAGGUGAAAUUCGUAGAUAUUAGGAAGAACACCAGUGGCGAAGGCGGCUCACUGGCCCGGUACUGACGCUGAGGCGCGAAAGCGUGGGGAGCAAACAGG